AGCACAUUGGUUCCUGAAUGGCU
RNAcentral lists this non-coding RNA (23 nucleotides) under Arabidopsis thaliana (thale cress). The record is from RNAcentral. Lineage: Eukaryota; Viridiplantae; Streptophyta; Magnoliopsida; Brassicales; Brassicaceae.